GAUGAACGCUGGCGGCGUGCCUAAUACAUGCAAGUCGAGCGAACAGACGAGGAGCUUGCUCCUCUGACGUUAGCGGCGGACGGGUGAGUAACACGUGGAUAACCUACCUAUAAGACUGGGAUAACUUCGGGAAACCGGAGCUAAUACCGGAUAAUAUAUUGAACCGCAUGGUUCAAUAGUGAAAGACGGUUUUGCUGUCACUUAUAGAUGGAUCCGCGCCGCAUUAGCUAGUUGGUAAGGUAACGGCUUACCAAGGCAACGAUGCGUAGCCGACCUGAGAGGGUGAUAGGCAGCAUGGGAAGUGAGACACGGUCAAGGCGACUACGGGAGGCAGCAGGAGGGAAUCUUCCGCAAUGGGCGAAAGUUUUACGGAGCAACGCGGCGUGAGAGAUGAAGGUCUUCGGAUCGGAAAACUCUGUUAUUAGUGAAGAACAAAUUUGUAAGUAACUAUGCACUUCUUGACGGUACCUAAUCAGAAAGCCACGGCUAACUACGUG
This 497-nucleotide ribosomal RNA is filed under the name uncultured bacterium. RNAcentral describes it as "partial 16S ribosomal RNA". It matches the Rfam family "Bacterial small subunit ribosomal RNA", at positions 28 to 507 of the family's 1533-position model. The record is from RNAcentral.